GACGAACGCUGUCGGCGUGCUUAACACAUGCAAGUCGAACGGAAAGGCCCUGCUUUUGUGGGGUGCCCGAGUGGCGAACGGGUGAGUAACACGUGAGUAACCUGCCCUUGACUUUGGGAUAACUUCAGGAAACUGGGGCUAAUACCGGAUAGGAGCUCCUGCUGCAUGGUGGGGGUUGGAAAGUUUCGGCGGUUGGGGAUGGACUCGCGGCUUAUCAGCUUGUUGGUGGGGUAGUGGCUUACCAAGGCUUUGACGGGUAGCCGGCCUGAGAGGGUGACCGGCCACAUUGGGACUGAGAUACGGCCCAGACUCCUACGGGAGGCAGCAGUGGGGAAUAUUGCACAAUGGGCGGAAGCCUGAUGCAGCAACGCCGCGUGCGGGAUGACGGCCUUCGGGUUGUAAACCGCUUUCGCCUGUGACGAAGCGUGAGUGACGGUAAUGGGUAAAGAAGCACCGGCUAACUACGUG
Molecule: ribosomal RNA, 468 nt
Filed under: uncultured bacterium
Lineage: Bacteria
Description: partial 16S ribosomal RNA
Rfam family: Bacterial small subunit ribosomal RNA
Source: RNAcentral